Molecule: unclassified non-coding RNA, 545 nt
Filed under: Hevea brasiliensis (rubber tree)
Lineage: Eukaryota; Viridiplantae; Streptophyta; Magnoliopsida; Malpighiales; Euphorbiaceae
Source: RNAcentral
CCUGUUUGGAUGCAACAUUUUUAUGUUCCUGUUGCACAUUAUGCUGCUGAAGUGCAAUUUUUGGUUAAAGACAGUGAUGUUGUGGGUUCACAGUUAAUAGGAAUUGUUGCCAUUCCAGUUGAACGAAUAUAUUCAGGGGCUAGAGUUGAGGGAGUUUACCCUGUUUUGAAUAGCAGUGGUAAACCAUGUAAACCUGGAGCUGUAUUGAAAUACCCCAAUGGAGAAACUGAGCAUUUACCAUCCAGGCGUGGGGGCAGGUCCUGACUAUCAAGGUGUGCCAGGCACGUAUUUUCCUCUUAGGAAAGGUGGAACAGUGACUCUUUACCAAGAUGCCCAUGUUCCAGAUGGGUGUCUUCCAAGUUUGAAACUUGAUGACAGGUUGUCUUAUGUGCAUAGAAAGUGUUGGCAUGAUAUCUUUGAUGCAAUACGCCAUGCCAGGCGCUUAAUUUAUAUUGUAGGGUGGUCAGUAUGGCACAAAGUUAGACUGAUUCGAGAUGCUGGUCAUCCAUCAGAUGCCACAUUGGGGGAUCUGCUGAGGUCCAAGU